UGAUCCUGGCUCAGGAUGAACGCUAGCGGCAGGCCUAACACAUGCAAGUCGAGGGGCAGCACGAAUUAGUUUACUAAUUUGGUGGCGACCGGCGCACGGGUGCGUAACGCGUAUGCAACCUACCUUAUACAGGGGAAUAGCCCGAAGAAAUUCGGAUUAAUGCCCCAUAGUAUCAAGAUAUGGCAUCGUAUUUUGAUUAAAGUUUCGGCGGUAUAAGAUGGGCAUGCGUCCUAUUAGCUAGAUGGUAAGGUAACGGCUUACCAUGGCUACGAUAGGUAGGGGGCCUGAGAGGGUAGUCCCCCACACUGGUACUGAGACACGGACCAGACUCCUACGGGAGGCAGCAGUGAGGAAUAUUGGUCAAUGGUCGGAAGACUGAACCAGCCAUGCCGCGUGAAGGAAGAAGGAUCUAUGGUUUGUAAACUUCUUUUAUUUGGGAAUAAACCUCUCUACGUGUAGAGAGCUGAAGGUACCAAAUGAAUAAGCACCGGCUAACUCCGUGCCAGCAGCCGCGGUAAUACGGAGGGUGCAAGCGUUAUCCGGAAUCAUUGGGUUUAAAGGGUCCGCAGGCGGGAAUGUAAGUCAGAGGUGAAAUCCUACAGCUCAACUGUAGAACUGCCUUUGAUACUGCGUUUCUUGAAUUCGAUCGAAGUGGGCGGAAUAUGACAUGUAGCGGUGAAAUGCAUAGAUAUGUCAUAGAACACCGAUAGCGAAGGCAGCUCACUAGGUCUGAAUUGACGCUCAUGGACGAAAGCGUGGGGAGCAAACAGGAUUAGAUACCCUGGUAGU
This 789-nucleotide ribosomal RNA is filed under the name uncultured marine bacterium. Its description in RNAcentral is "bacterial SSU rRNA". It matches the Rfam family "Bacterial small subunit ribosomal RNA", at positions 14 to 794 of the family's 1533-position model. The record is from RNAcentral.